Molecule: unclassified non-coding RNA, 21 nt
Filed under: Mus musculus (house mouse)
Lineage: Eukaryota; Metazoa; Chordata; Mammalia; Rodentia; Muridae
Description: oocyte_clustered_small_RNA2499
Source: RNAcentral
ACCAUAGGUCUGUGAGUUCAU